UUUACGCAUAUCGACGCAGUGCACGUUGACAGAACAAACGGGAAAGACGCAGAAAGGGCUGGCAUGUAUGAGGUAACGGCACGCACGGCUGUUUCCUCCUGUCGUCACAAAUAUUGGCCGAAUCCCUCCGUUUUCACCCUGACAUCACCGCAGCUGUAACUGCAGCAGCAAAUCGCUUGGAGCGAUUCACACGCAUCCCCUUCCGACAAGUAUUUGCCUACACUUUUCUCUUUGCCUCAUAUCAACCCCAUGGCACCGUUUUCAGCAUGUAGUUUCUUGAGGGGCAUCAAACAUGUCGAUAAGGACCUGCGACUGAUGGCCCUGUUUGAUCUUCGGCGUCACGUGCAGAGCGCUGACGAGAACAGCAUCACCAACGAAGUGGUCGAUAAAGUGCUUUCCUGCCUUUCUCCCGACGAGCGGUGUGAGGAGGUUCAGAAUGAGGCCGCCAACGCGCUUCCAGACAUGGUGGUGAAGUGCAGCCAGAGAGACGUUAUUCUCCAGUACCUGUUGUCGACCGUCACGAAAACGCGUGUUUCGGAUGAUGGCGAUGGCGCCAACCUGCAGUACCUCAGUGGGAUGACUUUCAGGAAGUGCUGUACUGAGUUCGCCAGCGAGGCUCGCAGAAACGUUGCUUUCUGGCAAAAGCAAAUCGAUGUGGCUCGGCAUCUCUGCGUCCGCUGCGCAGCGCAACUUGAGGUGGACGACUUGGAGGACACUGCGCGUGAGAUUCUUUAUACCGCGGUGAACGCACUCGUGCCCGCCUACAAAGACGUACUAGGCGAGCGCGAUGCCCUUGUAAAGAUGGCGGUGAGGGACUUCCAGAAAACCAAUUCGAUCCGACACGCGAGCCUGACCCUGGUUGAGUCCUUGCUGACGCUUUUAAGGGCAGCGACGCAAGAGAGCGUGGUGGCGGAGUCGCUGAAGCUGCUUGUGACUGCGACAUCCAGCGAACAGUACGUCGCCUACCUCCAGCUCUGCGAGGUCGAGAUGCGCGUGCUGCGGUGGCCUCCGAUGCCGGUGGUGCAGCAGAUCAUCGACUCCGCUUGCGAGCGUCUGGCCCACGCUGCGGAGCACUAUGAUGAGGGGGAGGACAGCACGGAGACACUGCUUGAAGUUGUCUGCUCUCUUUUGCAGCUGAACGCAAGUGGCGGGGCCCCGUCGUGGCGCGGCGCCUUCGCCGCUGUAAAGGAUUUGGUCGCCUUCGAUCCAUACGCUUCAGGUGCAGAGGAGGACGCCUACGCCGCAGACGGUGGGUACGACGGGGAUUACGACGAGUACUACGAGUACGACAAUGGGACAUCAGAUUCUACAUGGAAGCUGCGCAUGUGGGCCGUUCGCGUCCUUCAGGUGCUGGUGGCGCAGCAUGACGACAAGGAGUUGGGCAUGCAGUCCCUGAACAUAGCGGCGACCACACUCCAGGACCGCGUUCAAGUAGUGCAUCUGGAGGCCGUGAAGCUGGUGCGCACGGUGGUCCGUCACUCCUACGUGCAUGACGCGGAUUGCGUCGCGUUGGUCACGAACCGCUGCCACGAACUCUGCAAGCUCGUCGGUAUCGAAGAUGAAAAGGCUACAGCGUCCCUGAUGAAGGCUCUCGAAGACAUCUUUGCCACCUUCGCACACGCUGUCGCUUUUUGUGAAAGCACCGUGCCUCUGCUGCUGAAUCAAGUCCGCGCCCACUUCUCCGCAGUUGCAGCCGAUGCGGCCGCCUUGGAGGGAUGCCGGAGCAUCGUGGCGAGUAUUAUCAGGGCAAGAGGAGAAGGUGCAUUGUUGAGCAGCGAGACCGUGAACCUUGCCAAGGAGUUGCCGGUGUUGUGCUUGUGCGGAGGCAAUUCGAGCGCCACUGCGGCCUGCAUCACCAAGGUCAGCGACACACUCGCGCAGGUGUACAGCGCCACGCACGACGUAUCUGUACCGGCUGUUCUGGGCAGCAACUAUGGUGCACUGCUUGAGAACGGUACCUUUCCUGCCGCAUGCCGAGCGGCGGCCGCGGAGAGUCUGGCAAACUGGGCUGCAGCCCAUGGUCUUUCGGCGCUGGAGCAGCCGGCAAUCGCCCUGUGGCGCGCGCUGGACUACGACGAAGUAAAACUGCCUGUUCUUCGUGCACUGAGCAUCAUGACAGGCAGCAGUGCAUCUUCAGCAUCUGUUCCGACGUCUGUGCUGGAGAAAGUGGCGGCAUUGGUCGAGUCAGAGUCAGCAAGUGUGCGGGCGGCCUCAGUCGAGGUGCUACUGCGCCGCCUUUCAGUUCCCAACACGCCACCGUUGACGGCGUCGUUUAUGCAGCACUUGACGACCCUGUUUGCACCGGGCCACCCCCUGUCACUGUCGUCGUGUGAACUAGCCGAGAUGUGCGCACUGGCGCUUCUUCUGGCACAGCUUUUCCGGCACCAAACAGAGCAGGUUGUCUCGUUUUACGAGACCUACUUUGCUGGAGUGUGGGAACACGUUGCUCGACUGGCUGAUGCAGUGCUGUGGAGCCGGAGCCUGAUGAACCCAGCACUAGACAGCCUCAUGGCGCUUGUGGGCACCGUGUAUGAGCACGAAUAUGCGUCGCGAUUGCCUAUCGAGGACGACGUGCGGCAGUUUCUGGUGUCGAACCAGUCACACAUCCCAUGCAUCUUCACGGUGGUGCGCUGCGUGGGUGCCGGCUCCCCGUCCGCCGUGAACGCCUUUUUGCACACUCUUUCUCCCCAACUUGUGGAAAGGGCGCACUUCCUUCUCUGCGUUGGCGAGGCUGGACAGGCAAGCGGGCUGAGUGCCGACUGGUCUGCGCUGGUUCUUGACAGUGUGCAGAGCAAGGAAGGCGAGCUGGUGCGGUCUUGCGGCGAGCGGUCGCUUUCCUUGUGCAUGCUGCACCCCGGCAACGCCGAGACUAUCUUGAUGCCGUGCGGUGAGAGGGCCGUGGACAGUGGCACCACUGGCCGGUACUACUAUGUGAAGUCCAUCAAAGAAGCUGCCACACUGGCCCUCUCGCGGUACAAUACCGCAUUUCACGACGCCGCGGUGAGCAAACGCUUGUUGUCUCUCUUCCUUCAGUCAUCCGCUAGCGCGGACCUGGUGGAGCUGUACGGGGCAUGUGCCGGGAUUCUCAGCAUGUUCAUGCUUGACGCAGAGCGGGGCGUGAUGAUCGCUGACACCUUGUUCAAGACGGAGGCGUCGCUGGAUACGCGUGUGACGUGCAUGGUGGCCCUGCGCUACUUCCUGAGCACGCUGGCGGAGCGAUCUGCAAGCAUUGAGAUCCACCGCCACAUUGUUUUGCGGGCACUUCUCCAGCUGCACCGGCCCACCGACACCAAGGAAAGCACGGCACCGUCGCUGCCACUGCGCUCUAUGGCAUUGCGACUUCUCACCACGGUGCUUCAGCACCGUCCACAUUGGCUUCUUUGCGAGGAGACACGCGUGACGAUUUUCCCGAAUUUGCUGACAGAGCUGCGCGAGGACACCAAGCUGCAGGGCACGUUUGAUCUGAGCGGGUACACGCAUCGCGUGGACAAGGGACUGGAGUGCCGCAAGCUGGCCUUUGAGUCGCUCUCUGCCGUUUUCCGGGCCGCUCGUCAGCACAACGUGGAUCUGAUAGAAUACUGUGAAGCAGAGGCGUCUGUGAUCAGCACGCUCAUUAUGGCCUGCAGCUCUCAUGGCAGCGGCGACCGCGAACCUUCGAUCAACGAUACCGCAAAGGAUCUGAUUGUGCGGUUUGUGGAGAGCAAGCCCCGAUUCGUCUUCACCCCAUCUCAGCUGGACUCCUUGGUCUCCAAGCUGUUGCAUGAUAUCCAGUGGGGCACCUCAUCAACAGACGCGCAGAAGACGACGCUAUUGUAUACCAUCAGGUGUGUUAUGAGGCUGAGCAGCCACCCCGUCUUUGCGUAUCACACGGGCUUCCAGGAGGUGGCCGAGGUUGCCCGACAGUCUGCACUGCUGUCGCAGAGCCUCAAACUGUGACGCGGAUGCGUUCUCGUCCUUCGGCGCGAAGUGAGGCACCCCAUCCAUCUAGAACCUGGACACUGGUCCCCCUAGAGCUGUGAGCUCGUAUGUGUGUAUGCAUCUGUGCGCGUGCCUGCCUUCGUGCUGUGGGCAUGGCAAGGACAAUGACGGUACCGGUCGUACAUCUGCAGCCUCUCGAGGGAACGUUUUGCGUAUGGGGCAUUUCCCCUCGGUCUCUUUCUAGAAGGUUGUCUGUUCUACGCAGUGUUUUCAUUGUAGCUCUGUGCUAGUUCUCGCUGGUGACUGGGAAGCACCUCCGUGAGCUGUACCGCAGCGCCUAGCACACCCCACACCGUAUGCGGUGUAUGCUCAGGCAGCUCCCUCUCCCCCCCCUCUCCUAUCCCCUGCCAGCGCCGGAGCCCCACUUCUCGUGGUGACAAGGGCCGAGAGUGCCUACGACGUGGCAAGGGGGGGGUCUGUGCGAUGCAUGGCCACACUGAUGUGUCGGCGGUGGGGCCCUGGGUGGCGUUGCGUCGGGGUGGCCCGCGACAGCGAACACGCUUGUGCCGUCCAUGUGGUAGGCAGGGUGUCGGCGUGGCUGGAACGCAUUGCACCCGGCCCCGACUGCCGUUGCUGGUGCGGGGGGAGGGGGGGCCUGUGUGCCACCCCUACGGGGAUGCACAGCAGGUGGGCGCCGGCGUGACGGGUGCGGGUGUGAGGCGACCUGCAGAGCGCGGCGGUGGUGUGGAGUAUGAGGCAGGGGCCGUGCUCGGAUGGCUGAGCCGGCGCGUUGCUGUAGGGCGUGUGUGUGCAGGGCUGCUUGGCACCACGCGAUGUGCCUGUGACAGGGCCGGGGCAGCGUGGGGUUUGGCACCGGUCAAGGUGGCGGGGAACGGACGCGUUGGAGAAACAAAAUCUCUGCUGGCUCGUUCUGCGCUCUCUUCUUUUUUUCCCUUUUACGUCCAACGCGUUUCUUGUGUGUGUGCGGUGCGCGUCGUGGCGGUCUGCUCUGCUGCCUUCCUCUCCCUUCCUCACGCGUCUGGCGCUCGGCUUUGUGUGCCGUUUCAAAGGAGACGAACGAAACGGAGCCACGCCUUGCCGUUUUUCCCCUUUGGCUAGCGGUCCCGCAGCAAGGGCCGAUGUGCAGGCGUUUCGUCGUCUAGACGUUCAGAAGCAUACUUCGAAGUUUUACUGGCGACUGCCAGUGGGCAGAAGCCAUUGGCAAUUUAUACUUGGAGUGCGUGCCGUACUCUUGGAGUAUUACUGGGCUCCUUGCUGCGCCUUCUAUUCGAACUUGGAUGUCGCCUGCGCUUCAAGCACUGGCGAAGAGGUCACUGAUUUUUGAGAUCACUAACCGCAUGCAAACACGGCCGAUCUUCAUGAUCCCGCCGCACUCUUCUUUCCGAGUCUCUUUAUCCUCUUGUGUUUUCCGAUUUCCUUAUAUAUAACUGCCGCUGAUCCCCAUGUCGGCUUGACUCGCACUGAAAAAAAAAG
RNAcentral lists this unclassified non-coding RNA (5412 nucleotides) under Leishmania donovani. RNAcentral describes it as "gene:LdHU3.27.0390(CDS-product:TATA-binding_prote in_interacting_(TIP20)_putative)". Lineage: Eukaryota; Euglenozoa; Kinetoplastea; Trypanosomatida; Trypanosomatidae. The record is from RNAcentral.